Lagopus leucura (white-tailed ptarmigan) is the source of this 233-nucleotide long non-coding RNA. RefSeq lists it as uncharacterized. The record is from RefSeq and is a predicted model, not a curated record. The transcript has 3 exons. Lineage: Eukaryota; Metazoa; Chordata; Aves; Galliformes; Phasianidae.
GGGGUGCAAUGUGCCCUCUGAGCACAGAAUCAUCACUGUGGAUUCCUGCUUCAGUCCUGUGGGCACGAGCUGUACUGUGUGCACUCAGGAGAGCCAGAAAGGAGCACGGUGUCAUCACCUGAGGGGAAACAAAAAUCAGAAACGAGGAGGGGAAAUUUUGGUGCUUAUUUUUAGACUCUGUGGCUAAGAAGAAGCUUUACCACUUCCCUCACUCAGUAUUAAGCAAAGGACUU